This is a long non-coding RNA of Biomphalaria glabrata, 936 nucleotides long. RefSeq lists it as uncharacterized. The transcript has 3 exons. The record is from RefSeq and is a predicted model, not a curated record. NCBI's taxonomy places the organism in Eukaryota, Metazoa, Mollusca, Gastropoda, Planorbidae.
GAGAGAGAGAGAGAAGGCGCAACUGGACAUUUGACCAAAGACAAAGUUGUGUGAAGAACAUAUAAAAAAAAGUGGGAGUAGACACGUGAAAGUUGUUCGUAGGUGGCUCAUUGUUAGAAUAAAACAGUAAGUCUUGAACAAAAACUUAGACAAGGUUUGAAUCCCGCGAUUAAUAUCGGAACUCUUGAAUCAAGACACAAAUAGACUUCAUAAUUUUAAAGAUGUACUUGAAGAUUUCACCCCUUCACUUGGUCUCACAGCUCAUUCUUCUGACCUUUAUCUUAUGUUGCAUUCAGUCCGCCUUGGUAUUCGCUCGGAACUCUUUUGUAGGAGAGGUGCCGGAAGGUGUGUCGAUAGAAGACUUUCUGGGCACGUGCACGAAGUGUGGAGAGAUGUUUGGCACUGCCGUCUCCAGCAACUGCGUCUAUGAUAAAACGUUCGUCACAUAUAACCAGUGUUUCCUGGAGGUGCACCACUGACAGAGUCGCCCCCUGCCUGCCCUGUGUCAUGGAGUGCGGAGACAAGUGAUUUUAUUAAAUAUUGAAUCUGAUCAAAUUAGUUUCAUGUUUUAAAAUUGGUCCAAAGCUUUAUGAAUGUUUUGCUUAAAUUGCUUAGAUAAUUUCAAAUAUUUUAUAUUACUUAACUGUGACAAAACAAUAGGAAGUACAAUAAUUGGUUAUUCAAAUAUUUGUUAAGUUUUUGUUGAAAACAAUAUCCCAUUAAAGAUUCAUUCUAUUGCAAUGGUAUAUAUAUAUAUAUAUAUAUAUAUAUAUAUACAUAUAUAUAUAUAUAUAUAUAUAUAUAUAUAUAUAUAUAUAUACACACACAAAAGGAGAGACAAUUCAGAUGAAAACUAGGGGAGGAGAUUUGUUUGUUCAAUGAAAGUUGUGUUGAAUAUGAAUAAAAAAAAAAAUUAAAGCUUGUCUUUGCAAAGUA